This 6650-nucleotide long non-coding RNA is filed under the name Sorghum bicolor (sorghum). RNAcentral describes it as "long non-coding RNA (SBIC_LNC004063)". The record is from RNAcentral. Lineage: Eukaryota; Viridiplantae; Streptophyta; Magnoliopsida; Poales; Poaceae.
AGGAAUCAAGUCCAUGGAGAUCGACGCCGAGAAGUGCACGCUGACGGUGGUCGGGACGGUCGACCCGGUGCGCAUGGUGCAGAGGCUCAAGAAGAAGUGCUUCGAGGCGACCAUCGUGAGCGUGGAGGACGACAAGCCCAAGGAGAAGAAGGACCCCUGCAAGGAGGCGUGCGAGAAGCUGUGCAAGGAGAAGUGCGACAAGAUCACCUGCUGCAAGGAGUGCAAGGACAAGUGCGAGAAGGAGUGCAAGGACAAGUGCGAGAAGGCCUGCGAGGCGUGGCUCGGCAAGGGGUGCUGCUCCUGCAGCCGCUGCAAGCCCAGCCCGGCCGGCUGCUACUACGACCCCUGCGCCGUGCGUAGCUACCCCUACGGCUACUACUACAACGGGUACCCCUACUACGGCUGCUACGAAGAGAGGUCACAUGAAGGAGCGUGUACCAUCCAGUAGUGUUUUGUUCAGCAUGCAACUACUGCAUGCCAAAUGUGCGUGGAGUUGUCUUCCUACGGCACGUUUGUAUGGUUAUAAGGAUCUCACCCUGUAUCUUUAGUUUGUGUUAAUUGUUUUUUUUUCAUUGUACUCGUACUAUAUAUAUGCAAAGAUGCUUGAGAUUUUGGAUGGUUUUCUCUCACUAAACGAAAGAUUUUAGAAAAGAAAAUUUUAUUCUGGCCUCUGCAAGACUGUUGUACCCAACCGUGUUGUUGUGGCUUUGUUAGUAUAUCUACCUGUAGUGUGUCCUCUUUUUAUCUCUAAGGGUCUAUUUGGAUCUCAUGAAUUGAAACCAAUAUCUAGACUAGAGUCUAUUUUAUUAUUAGAUUAUUUUCAAAUUCCUCAUAAUUUGGGAACCAAACAAGGCCUAAAGAUAAUGGAUCACCAAAUUUGGUUCUGAUCCAUAACUGGUGUAGGAAGAUGAAUUGUACCGGUCGCGGAGAAUGGCUCAAACAUGCAUGUUAGCCAACGUUUCUUAUUUACUACUGGUUAAUUUAAAAAAUUGCUGACUUUAUUAUCACGAAGAGAUGUAGCAAAAGACGAUAACACCACAAAUGCAUACAACGAACAUAUGGUGGAUAUGUGCCCCUGUGUGAGUGAUAAGGCCAGUCUCAGUGGGGGUUUCACCAGGAUGUCAUGCAUAUUUAUUAGGGCGUCAUGUCAGCAAAACUGCACUUUUUGCAUGAAACGAAGAGGAGAGAGAAGGAAGUAGUUUCACCAUGGUGAAACUCCGCUGGCGUUGUUUCCCACGCGGUGAAAUAGGAUGAAAUCCCCACUGAGGACUAAAAUCGUUUCACCAUCUUGCAUGUGAUCCAAUCAUUUUGCAGUAAUUAAAUGCUUUGCCCAGCCUAGAAAACAUCAAGAUGAAACUCAUGCAUUGUGGAGGUUGUUUCAUUGUUCGUUUCAUUGAUGCUCUGUCAGCAGAUUUAUUUUGGAAACGGUGCAUUGAAAUGGGCCAUUAAGACUGGCCUAAGUGGUUGUCAAGUGAGAUCGAAGCUUUAGUUAAGUGCACAUGAGACUAAUCAUGGUGUGAGCUAUAUGUGCAAUAUGUCUUUUUGCUUGUGAUGUGCAGGUGUUGAGUGUUGAGAUAGUCGACGAUAAUAGAAAAGGUCAAGCAAGAGUCCAUGCGCACUAGGACCGAUGAAGGGUGGACGUGAAGGCUUGGCCAGAGAACUAAGGGUCAUAGGAUGAACCAUGGAUGACUAGCACUUGGACAUGUUGACAAGCAAGCUAUUGUGCAUGUGAGAAUGGUGAUGAAGACGGUAUCGACCGAAGUCAAGAUGGCAGUUGGACCAAGUCGACAUGGAUGCACGACCACUUGGAGAUCCGACGGUCAAGCACAAGCGAGACACGCAUCGACAUCAUGGACAAGGCGUAUCGCGAUCCAAGGGUUUGGCGGUUUGGGCCUCAAAACCGCUGGCGGUAGGGUUUGCUUUGGAACUCAAAACCUCGGGGGAGGAUCUUAGAGUGGCUCAUGGUGUCAUUGGAAAGUUUGCGUUGAGGCAAAGUGACUUCAUGAAGACAUGAAGGGCUCGUGGCCGCCGAUGCAUGGAAUCCAUGUUUUACCAUUUUGCCCCCGCGGCUAAGUGGUUCAUGGCAAAUACUUAGGGAUAGUGUUGGAAUAUGUAAUAGCCUUAAAAAUAAGAAUAGUGGCUGCCCAAAACAGCCAUCUCGCCCACCUAAGUUCAUUUCCUUAGGCUAAGCCAAGUAUAUCUUCCUUAGAGAAGAUUAGAAGUAGAGAGUGUGAGAUAUCUUGCUCUAGAUUUCCACUUUCUAGAGGAGGAUGAAGAGAGGAGUCUAGACUUAAUCUUAUAAAGAUUUUUUAUUGAUGAAUCAAUCAAGUUGUCUUCUAAAAUUUUGAGUUCAUCUUUUUAAUAUAUUUUUCUCCUAUUUCGGUUGAUUUUUGUGAUCCUUGUCGAAGUUCUUUGAUCUAAGGUUUUGGAGACAAUUCUGAGUUGAUCUUCUGGUGCUUUGACCCCCUGAGAACACAUCUAGCCACUGGUUCAAUCAGUUUUAGCAUGACCACCAAGAAAUCAACUUUGUUUGAAACUGAAGAAACCCCAUUUUAGAGAGCUUCUUUUCAGAUGUGAUACCAAAGCUCUUUUGGAGUUGAAACUUUGCAAUGAUAUUUACUUUCUCAUAGAGAAGGUGUGUGCAAAAUUUCAAAUCAAUUGGACUUUGUUUGAUCGAGUUUUGCAUUUUUCUUCCUUGGCUUGGGCCGUAGAAACUGUAGUACCUACUUGACCAUGUUGUAGAACCGGUAUAGCCAGAUUUGACCAAUGACAAAAAUCAUAACAUCAACUAAAUGGGUGGAACCUGAAACUGCUUUUUCAAAACCUGUUGCUUUCGCAUAGAACAAUUUUUGAAGCAUCUUGGACCUUUCUUUUUGCUUUUGACUUUUUGUUUUUUCAAAUGGGUGAAAUAGAGAAAUGUUUCAUAAUCAUGUCGAUACAAAUAGAGGUGGUUUCAUAGUUGUUUCAACCAAACAAUUUGUAACUUUUUCACACCAUAUAGCUCGUAGCAACUUUUACACAGCUCACAUUAGCUUUUUCAUAGCUUAGAGCAUCUCCAACAGUUAGCUAUCCUACCCUGUUUAGACAAAAUUAGAGAAAAUUAGGCUCCAAUAGCCUCGCUAAAUAUGAGUAUGGUUUUCUUCUAGUCUUGGGUAUUCAGCACAGGAUAUAUCACAAGACAUAUCACGUGACUCUUUCUUUCUUUCUUAAGUUUCUAUGUGAAACCAAUCAAAAAUUUAUUUGUGUUCUCUGUGACUCUUUAUUUUAAAGAUAAGAUCCAAAUAACUCCUAAUAGAACACCAACAUAUAGAUAACUUUUUUUUUUGAAGGGACUGUUUGGCUUGUGGCCAAAUUUUGCCAUGCCAAAGAUUUGGCAAGUAUAAAUUGUGCAAAAAACAAUUCAUACAUUUGGCAAAUGUGAGAAGUUGGUAAGUUUUGUAGCAAAUGACAGCCAAAAUCAUGGUUUACCAAAUCUUUGGCUUGCCAUAUUUCAGAAGCCAAUCAAGCAGGCCCUUAGUACUAAUUUCAUAUUUUUCCACUGAAAUAAAUAGUUAUGAUUUUUUUAAGAUUAAACCAGAUUUUAUUAUUUUGAAAAUAUAAAACCGCCGUUGAAACCACACCAAAUUAGCCCAGUUUCAACAAUUUGAAGUGCGUCUGGUACCCGAUGUUGUAGUUCAAGGGGUUGAAAAUCAAACUGCUCUACUAGUUAGAGGUUGAAAAUAGACUCACUCAAGUUUCUACGUGGAAACCAUUUCAUGUACCUCCUGAUACUGUGCAAUAGGAAUAGUUUAAGCAUCAAAGACCACCAACUGCAAACAGUCUACAACAUCAAUGAGUUGCGGGUGACAGUGGUCUUCAAUCAAUCGAAAUAAAAUACCAGCCUCCAAAGUAAAUAGCAACAUAACUGCUCUAUACAGGUAAGUUUUUUUCCUUGUACUAUACAGUUAAGGAAUUCUUAUGUCAUGCUCUUGCUUUGGCUCACCCAACAACCUAACCUACAAACAAAUACUCUCAAACGAAGACGGGAAGAACGAAAAAGGAUCGGAAGUUAUUGGGCCAAAUGUCUCUUCACAUUGACCGAACAGCCCAAUACGCUCUGGUGUAUGCACUGGCGGAGCCACCGCCUAGCCACCCUGGGGUGCCGGCCGGGCUCCUCACCAAAAUUUAAAAGAAAAGUUUCUUUAUAUUCAUAUAAAAUUCUGUAAUUUAUAGUUAAUUAUUUUUGCUUAAUAAGAAUUGUCUGGACUCCUAAAAGCUUUUGGCUUUGCCAAUGGGUGCAUGUAACUAUGUAAGCCUUUGACUAUAUGUGUGUGAGCGAGCGAGCGAAUUGAGAGACGAGAAAGAAAGAAAAGUUUGCACUUCAGAUUGGUGCAUCAUGCGCAAGUGCAACCUACAUCAAAGUAUGAAACGUGUCAGAGGUGCAAACGGUGUCGGAUUGGUGACAAACCUGGUGAAGUGAUUAUGCACUGAUAGCUCUACGAGACUACGAUUUGCAUGGUUCGUUUGAGAAUUUGGUUAUUGGAGUAUUCAAUAGGAGCUUUUAUCUGGUAAGGUCCAAUUUAGCUGAAAAUUGGUCAGGAGUGACAGUCUCAUUAGCUGAAGAGAAGCGUGGCAUAAAUGCCAUGGAACACCACUCGGAUGUUCGGACUCGGAGAGGGGGAUGAGGAUUCAUGUUGUCUAACGACAAUAUCAACCUAGACAUGCCAUAUAGAUACUCCUAUUCUAUAUUCUAAGUUACAAGUCGUUUUGAUUUUUUUCAUGAAACAUUUAUUUUACUAUGUAUCUAGAUAUAAGAGAUAAAUAGCAACAUAUACUACUUAAAACUACUAUCCUCAACAUAUGUAGAGCAUUUUUUACAAAUUGAUCCUAGAUUAGUUGGUUGGGUUUAUUGUAGUGGAAACUACCUUGGGUUCUAAGUCCUCAACUUAACAUGGAUGCUCGUAUUUUCCUUUUUUUCAGAAUUUAAUGGUACUAUGUUUUUAACGCUAUGCAACGUCCCAUCGACAAUGAGAUGCCUGUGAUGACUUUGUGAAUGUUGACAUAUGUCGGCUCAGUCCUUCGAAUGUGCUUAUGGGAGUAGCGUUUGCGUACAUGUGUUUAUAGAGAUAAGUGUGUACGUAUUUGUGGGUGUUUAUGUGGUGUAUGUUGUAAUUUAAAAAAAAUAGAGUACUUUCUUUUUUUUUGUUACGACGACAGCUGCGAACACUGAGCGGUGAGCGCGUGCGGCCGUGCGCUCUAUUACUCUGGUAGCAAGAAUACGCCUACCAUGUUCAAAGCAACCGGGCCUGUAAACUUCCGCUUUUUUCGCCUUUGUACCAACAAGUCCUUCGAGUAAACAGUAAAGCGAGACCAAGUGAACAGACAGAGAUUUUAAUUUGUUCCAAAUGUUCCCAAGUAUUCUGCUAGGGAAGGACGUGUUGCCAUCAACCAUCAUGACUUCAUGAGUGUCACCUACCUCAGACCUAAGAGACAAUCAUAUAUACUCACAACCAGAUUUUUCAAUUUCUCCUAGUGAUGUAGGGUUCUCCUAGUGUUUUAGCAUUCAAAAUUUAGUAUAAACUUUCCCUAGUAAAUGUCUCCUAGUUAGGAUUCCCUAGUGUUUUGACUAGUGGUAAUGUUUUAUUACUAACUAAAAACACUAGGAGAACUCUACCAAAAUGGUAGUGACUAGCUCAUGCCGACUUCGCGAUGUAUUUUAUAGUAAACGUUUGCUCGGGUUUUGGACGAACUCAAACUAAUAAAACAAACUUGUGGGCACUGGGCAGGUAUAUCCUCGAGAAAAUUAAAAGAAACCAACAGCCCAGUUACGUUGAUAAGCCAACCAUAUAUAAUUAAGCAGUGCAGGUGAGCUAAGCAAUAUAUAUAUUCUCCGGACCAGCCAAAUGGCCUAAGCAGUGCAGGUGAGAUAAUCAGUGGUCUUGUCGAUCGAGUUGACUUCCAGAGCUGCAUGCCACCAAUAUAUGGAGCGCAUAGAAUUGAGCAGUGAUUAUGCACAGGGAGUUCAGUUCCAGCAGCAGCAUAGCAGCAGAACCUCUUAUUAUCAGGACAAGCAAAUUAAAUCUAUCCAAGGGUGUCAUUGCCAUCACUCAUCAGCUCACCAAUGUCUAAUAAGGUUAAUUUGUGUGGCCACGUUUGCCUCUCCCGACGAUGUUGAUUCUGAAUUUCUGAUCACUGAACCAUUUGUGCUGUCCAUUACUUGCAUCUUGCAGAAGAUAGUGGUCAAAGCUGACCUCGUCGGCAAGACAUGCAUGAGGGAUAUCCUGUCAGUUGCUGCGACGCUCCAAGGUACUACCACCCAUCCAUCUAUCUGUCUACCAAUUAAGCAAUGCAAUGUACCAUCAUGCAGAUGCAUGCCUUUCCAAGUUCCAACAGAUUUAAAACUAGCCUUGCACUGAAUGUCUGCUGCAGGGAUCAAGUCGAUGGACGUUGACGCCGAGAAGUGCACGCUGACGGUGGUCGGCACCGUCGACCCGGUGCGCAUCGCGCAGAAGCUCAAGAAGAAGUGCUUCUCCGUGAACAUCAUCAGCGUCGAAGACGACAAGCCCAAGCCCAAGCCCCCGGAACCGGAGAAGAAGAAGCCGCAGGACCCCUGCAAGGACGUGUGCGAGAACAAGUGCGACAAGAUCACCUGCUGCAAGGAGUGCAAGGAC